Odocoileus virginianus texanus is the source of this 492-nucleotide non-coding RNA. The record is from RefSeq and is a predicted model, not a curated record. NCBI's taxonomy places the organism in Eukaryota, Metazoa, Chordata, Mammalia, Artiodactyla, Cervidae.
CCCAAGUAGUAAUGAUACCUUCUGCCAUAUUGUUGCUGAUAUUACUGCCAGCUUUUGGCCUGGUCCUUUAACUUCUCUGUCACUAACUUGACAUUCAUUCAAUAAUUAUAAUCAGUUUUAGGUAUUCUUCCAUUAGAACCAUCUCUAGUUAUAAUGCCUGAUAAAGCCCACUUCUUCAGAGCUAGUUCCAGUCCAGACAUGAGCUGGAGCUCCAGACGCUGAGCAAGGACAGAGUAAGUAGGAAUAACAUGAGGCGGCCACAGAGUUGGCAGAAGUGAGUGCAAAAGAAUCAGCAAACAAUUACAAGAGGGAGAUAACCGGAGAGGAAAGACCUGCCACUAGAGAAAAAGAGAGACCUGGAAUGUUUGCUCCAGGAUAUCCCCACAUGCAUGGUGUGCUGGCCACUGAGUCUUGGGUGAAGGAGGAGGAAAAGCAGGAAAUGGAGGGAAAGGAAGAAGAAGAAAGGAGCAAAGAUGACAAAUGGGGGAGAAG